CCUACGGGAGGCAGCAGUAGGGAAUAUUGCUCAAUGGGGGAAACCCUGAAGCAGCAACGCCGCGUGGAGGAUGAAGGUUUUAGGAUUGUAAACCCCUUUUGUGAGAGAAGAAAAUGACGGUAUCUCUCGAAUAAGCACCGGCUAACUCCGUGCCAGCAGCCGCGGUACUACGGAGGGUGCAAGCGUUACACGGAAUCACUGGGCGUAAAGAGUGCGCAGGCGGGCUUGUAAGUCAGAUGUGAAAUCCUGUAGCUUAACUAUAGAACUGCAUUUGAAACUAUGAGUCUAGAGUGUGGGAGAGGUAGGUGGAAUUCUUGGUGUAGGGGUAAAAUGCGUAGAUAUCAAGAGGAAUACUCAUUGCGAAGGCGACCUACUGGAACAUUACUGACGCUGAGGCACGAAGGCGUGGGGAGCGAACAGGAUUAGAUACCCUAGUAGUC
RNAcentral lists this ribosomal RNA (440 nucleotides) under uncultured bacterium. RNAcentral's name for it is "partial 16S ribosomal RNA". It matches the Rfam family "Bacterial small subunit ribosomal RNA", at positions 338 to 795 of the family's 1533-position model. The record is from RNAcentral.